Molecule: small RNA, 85 nt
Filed under: Marmota monax (woodchuck)
Lineage: Eukaryota; Metazoa; Chordata; Mammalia; Rodentia; Sciuridae
Rfam family: U2 spliceosomal RNA
About the family: U2 is a small nuclear RNA (snRNA) component of the spliceosome (involved in pre-mRNA splicing). Complementary binding between U2 snRNA (in an area lying towards the 5' end but 3' to hairpin I) and the branchpoint sequence (BPS) of the intron results the bulging out of an unpaired adenosine, on the BPS, which initiates a nucleophilic attack at the intronic 5' splice site, thus starting the first of two transesterification reactions that mediate splicing.
Source: RNAcentral
AUCGCUUCUCAGCCUUUUGGCUAAGAUCAAGUGUAGAACAUGUAUGGAGAAUUUUUAAAACUAUUCAUAUUAAUCAAAAAAAUAU